GUCAAAAUGGCCGAGCGGUCUAAGGCACUGCGCUCAAGUCGCAGUAUAUUCUAUGGGCGUGGGUACGAAUCCCACUUCUGACA
Molecule: transfer RNA, 83 nt
Filed under: Blattella germanica (German cockroach)
Lineage: Eukaryota; Metazoa; Arthropoda; Insecta; Blattodea; Blattellidae
Description: tRNA-Leu (CAA) (tRNA-Leu-CAA-27-1)
Rfam family: tRNA
About the family: Transfer RNA (tRNA) molecules are approximately 80 nucleotides in length. Their secondary structure includes four short double-helical elements and three loops (D, anti-codon, and T loops).
Source: RNAcentral